This 232-nucleotide ribosomal RNA is filed under the name uncultured bacterium. RNAcentral describes it as "partial 16S ribosomal RNA". It matches the Rfam family "Bacterial small subunit ribosomal RNA", at positions 103 to 334 of the family's 1533-position model. The record is from RNAcentral.
CGGGUGAGUAACGCGUGAGGAACCUGCCUCAAAGAGGGGACGAACAGUUGGAAACGGCUGCUAAUACCGCAUAAGCCCACGGCUCGGCAUCGAGCAGAGGGAAAGGAGCAAUCCGCUUUGAGAUGGCCUCGCGUCCGAUUAGCUAGUUGGUGAGGUAAUGGCCCACCAAGGCAACGAUCGGUAGCCGGACUGAGAGGUUGAACGGCCACAUUGGGACUGAGACACGGCCCAG